CCGAUGGAGGGGGAUAACUACUGGAAACGGUAGCUAAUACCGCAUAACGUCGCAAGACCAAAGAGGGGACCUUGGGCCUCUUGCCAUCGGAUGUGCCCAGAUGGGAUUAGCUAGUAGGUGGGGUAAAGGCUCACCUAGGCGACGAUCCCUAGCUGGUCUGAGAGGAUGACCAGCCACACUGGAACUGAGACACGGUCCAG
Molecule: ribosomal RNA, 200 nt
Filed under: uncultured bacterium
Lineage: Bacteria
Description: partial 16S ribosomal RNA
Rfam family: Bacterial small subunit ribosomal RNA
Source: RNAcentral